CCUAACAUCUAGCCCACACCACCCACAUGACUUUUUCCUACACCCCACGUACGCAACAAAACAUUUUAUCUCUUUAGUACAGGCGAUCGAAAAACUUAUAGGCGCUUCAGAUUAAGUACCGCAAGGGAAAGAUGAAAUAAAAAUGAAAUAAUUUUAAAGCCCCAAACAGCAGAGAUAUACCCUCGUACCUUUUGCAUCAUGGUCUAGCUAGUCUAACCAAGCAAAAUGUGAACUUUAGUUUGACACCCCGAAACUAAGUGAGCUACUUCGAAACAGCCCUAAGGGGCCAACCCGUCUCUGUUGCAAAAGAGUGGGAAGAUUUUUAAGUAGAGGUGAUAAGCCUACCGAACUUAGAGAUAGCUGGUUAUUCAGGAGAAGAGUUUUAGCUCUGCCUUAAGUUUUUUAAUUAACUCAAACAAAUCUUUAAACUUAAGAGUUAUUCAAGUAAGGUUCAGCUUACUUGAAACAGGAUACAACCUCCAAUAUUGGGUAAAUAAAGGAACCUAGAUAAAGUGGGCCUAAAAGCAGCC
This 530-nucleotide ribosomal RNA is filed under the name Sanguirana luzonensis (Luzon frog). RNAcentral describes it as "partial 16S ribosomal RNA". The stretch from base 168 to 530 matches the Rfam family "Bacterial large subunit ribosomal RNA", at positions 569 to 1077 of the family's 2925-position model. The record is from RNAcentral. Lineage: Eukaryota; Metazoa; Chordata; Amphibia; Anura; Ranidae.